GGGUUGAGAAACUGACUGAAGUUUCUAUCAGCUCUGAUGCCUUCUUCCCUUUCCGAGAUAACGUAGACAGAGCUAAAAGGAGUGGUGUGGCGUACAUUGCGGCUCCCUCCGGUUCUGCUGCUGACAAAGUUGUGAUUGAGGCCUGCGACGAACUGGGAAUCAUCCUCGCUCAUACGAACCUUCGGCUCUUCCACCACUGAUUUUACCACACACUGUUUUUUGGCUUGCUUAUGUGUAGGUGAACAGUCACGCCUGAAACUUUGAGGAUAACUUUUAAAAAAAAUAAAACAGUAUCUCUUAAUCACUAAAUCCAUAGUUUUUGGUAGUUGUGUUUUAUGUUAAAGAUGCAGGCUCUUUGAACUGACACAUGACAUAUAAAUGAGGAAUUCCAGAGCACCCCUGCCUACCGGAGCUCAGCCCAUCCCACAGCGCUGCCCGUGUGAAACAUAAACAUUAACAGGAACCAAACGAGCUGAACAGCCAGAGGACAUGGCACAAGUCACUGUGUACAGGCCACACGUAAGGACUGGGAGUUAUACCCAUCUUAAAGGUGGAGUAUUGAUGUAAAUUACCUAGAAUUCUUCUGCAUGGCAGUUGUAUGUUAAAGCUCCAUGUUUCCUCCUAGGGGAGUCUUCUCAUGCCAUUUUUGUUUGUUUGUUUGUUUUUCAUUUUUUUAAUUUAUUUUUUUGAGAGGGAGUCUCAAAAAAAUAGCUCUGUCACUCAGGCUAGAGUCAGUGGCACCAUCUUGGCUCACUGCAACCUCCGCCUCCCGCGUUCAAGCGAUUCUCCUGCCUCAGCCUCCCGAGUAGCUGGGACUACAGGCGUGUGCCACCAUGCCUGGCUAAUUUUUGUAUUUAGUAGAGACAGGGUGUCACCAUGUUGGUCAGGCUGGUCUGGAACUCUUGACCUCGUGAUCCACCCGCCCUGGCCUCCCAAAGUGCUGGGAUUACGGGCGUGAGCCACCGUGCCCGGCCCUCAUGCCAUUUAUUUUUAAUCACACUUCUGAGAAGCUUGGUUGUCUGCUUUCCAAACAAACAGCAGAUUGGCACCUGUGAACUGGAACCUUAGAGGGAAUUGGUUUAAGUCUUGUUGACCCCCUGUAUGGAUAAUCUGAUGUAUAUUUUUCUCAGUGCUAAGUGAAAUGUUUCCCAGAAUUUCAGCAGCCCGAGAUUCACCCUCUGGAGCUGCAUAAAAAUGUAGUCAAUAUUUUGUGCUCAGAAAUUGUACCCAAUAUUCCAAUUACAGGCUUAAUCACUGCAGUGGGCACAGUGGGAGGGCAGUGCCUUCCUUCGUCAGGACAGACCUGUGCAUCUGUGUGUCCUGCCUGUGUGCUCCUGACCAUUCCCGUGCAUUGCACCUGUGUUCAACUAAAACCCUUUGCCGUUGUUCACCUUUACCAAUGAGUCCUACCCUCUUCCCAAGUCUUUAACUUAUCCCCUUGCUAAAUAAAAAUUUCUGAAGUUUUUUCUUAAUGGUCAUCUUUCUAAGUUAUUUCUGGUUCAGCUAAUCUUCCAGCCCCGGCAUAGGACCUGUCCACAUUGAAACAAGGCUGACUUGUGUGAUCAGUAAAAUACUGCAGAAAAAAUAAGACUUUUGAGGCUAGGUCCUAAUACAUUGCAACUUCAGCCUUAGUUUCCUGGAUUACUUCCUCUGGGAUAAGCCAAGACCACGUUGUAAGAGUUAAGCAGCCCUCCACAAGGAGAGAAGCCAUCUUGCUUACACUAGUUGCCAGCCACAUGAGUGAGCCACCUCAGAGGUGGAUCCUCCAGCUUCAGUCCCAGGCAACAUCUGGCUUCAACCUCUUCAGAGACCUGAGCCAGAACUGCCCAAAAGAGUUCUUGAAUUCCUGACCCACAGAUACAGAGAGAUGCAUUAAGCCACAAAGUUCUGGGGUAAUUAUGUAGCAGUAAAUAGCUAAUACAGAUUUUGGCUUGUAAAUUAAGUGUGCAUUGUCUUUUUCAUGGUUCUUUGGUUUGACCAAAGGUUAACAUUAAGGGUGUGAUAAUGGGAACAGGCUGGGCACUGUGUCUCCUGUCUAUAAUCCCAGCACUUUG
This 2054-nucleotide long non-coding RNA is filed under the name Pan troglodytes (chimpanzee). RNAcentral describes it as "long non-coding RNA NONPTRT011248". Lineage: Eukaryota; Metazoa; Chordata; Mammalia; Primates; Hominidae. The record is from RNAcentral.